RNAcentral lists this long non-coding RNA (486 nucleotides) under Anas platyrhynchos platyrhynchos (common mallard). RNAcentral describes it as "lncRNA (ENSAPLG00000029184.1)". The record is from RNAcentral. Lineage: Eukaryota; Metazoa; Chordata; Aves; Anseriformes; Anatidae.
GAACAAUUUUCCCUUUUCUCUCGCAUUGCAUCUUUUACAUUAGCUUAUGCCAUAACCUUCCAUAUGAAUGCUUCUGACAUUUUAUGCUGAGGCAUAUGAAAAUUGAUUAAGCUUCUCUAGGAAUGCUACCUUGUUUAGCAGUGUUUCUGCCUUCUUUUGAAAACAGAAAUGUGAAAUCUCCAAUCUGAGGGAAAGAUUCAUGAUGAUGAUCUGGGAGCUGCUAAAUCACCCACCUGCUUCCCCAGCUGACCAACAAAGAGGAAGAAUAUCAUACAGGUUAAUCCAGAGCAUGUGAUGCUUCAAUUUGUACUAACCUCAGAGAUGAUAACUUGCAGCUGUACUUUAAGGAGUGAGUUGAUGCAAGAUGGAGAGAGGAGAAGGAAAAGGGGCCUACCAAAAAAUAGGUGAAUAAGUCCUAUCUUUCAAUUGCUUACUAAAAGAAAAAAUGAAAAUAAACUAAUUGCUGAGACUGGUGAUGUGAGUAAA